RNAcentral lists this ribosomal RNA (543 nucleotides) under uncultured bacterium. Its description in RNAcentral is "bacterial SSU rRNA". It matches the Rfam family "Bacterial small subunit ribosomal RNA", at positions 777 to 1319 of the family's 1533-position model. The record is from RNAcentral.
AAUAGAUACCCAGGUAGUCCACGCCGUAAACGAUGAGUGCUAAGUGUUGGGGGAUUUCCGCCCCUCAGUGCUGCAGCUAACGCAUUAAGCACUCCGCCUGGGGAGUACGGUCGCAAGACUGAAACUCAAAGGAAUUGACGGGGGCCCGCACAAGCGGUGGAGCAUGUGGUUUAAUUCGAAGCAACGCGAAGAACCUUACCAGGUCUUGACAUCCCGGUGACCACUAUGGAGACAUAGUUUCCCCUUCGGGGGGCAACGGUGACAGGUGGUGCAUGGUUGUCGUCAGCUCGUGUCGUGAGAUGUUGGGUUAAGUCCCGCAACGAGCGCAACCCUUAUUCUUAGUUGCCAUCAUUCAGUUGGGCACUCUAAGGAGACUGCCGGUGAUAAACCGGAGGAAGGUGGGGAUGACGUCAAAUCAUCAUGCCCCUUAUGACCUGGGCUACACACGUGCUACAAUGGACGGUCAAACGGUUGCCAACCCGCGAGGGGAGCUAAUCCGAUAAAACCGUUCUCAGUUCGGAUUGUAGGCUGCAACUCGCCUAC